Molecule: ribosomal RNA, 2070 nt
Filed under: Shigella flexneri
Lineage: Bacteria; Pseudomonadati; Pseudomonadota; Gammaproteobacteria; Enterobacterales; Enterobacteriaceae
Description: partial 23S ribosomal RNA
Rfam family: Bacterial large subunit ribosomal RNA
Source: RNAcentral
AGAUUUCCGAAUGGGGAAACCCACUGUUCGUAAUGGGACAGUAUCUUUAUCUGAAUACAUAGGAUAAUGAAGGCAGACCCGGGGAACUGAAACAUCUAAGUACCCGGAGGAAGAGAAAGCAAACGCGAUUUCCCAAGUAGCGGCGAGCGAAACGGAAUUAGCCCAAACCAAGAGGCUUGCCUCUUGGGGUUGUAGGACACUCUAUACGGAGUUACAAAGGAACGGGGUAGAUGAAGCGACCUGGAAAGGUCCGUCAAAGAAGGUAAAAACCCUGUAGUCGAAACUUCGUUCCCUCCAGAGUGGAUCCUGAGUACGGCGGGACACGAGAAAUCCCGUCGGAAGCAGGGAGGACCAUCUCCCAAGGCUAAAUACUCCCUAGUGACCGAUAGUGAACCAGUACCGUGAGGGAAAGGUGAAAAGCACCCCGGAAGGGGAGUGAAAAGAUCCUGAAACCGUGUGCUUACAAGUAGUCAGAGCCCGUUAAUGGGUGAUGGCGUGCCUUUUGUAGAAUGAACCGGCGAGUUACGAUCCCGUGCAAGGUUAAGUUGAUAAGACGGAGCCGCAGCGAAAGCGAGUCUGAAUAGGGCGUUUGAGUACGUGGUCGUAGACCCGAAACCAGGUGAUCUACCCAUGUCCAGGGUGAAGUUCAGGUAACACUGAAUGGAGGCCCGAACCCACGCACGUUGAAAAGUGCGGGGAUGAGGUGUGGGUAGCGGAGAAAUUCCAAUCGAACCUGGAGAUAGCUGGUUCUCUCCGAAAUAGCUUUAGGGCUAGCCUCAAGUAUGAGAGUCUUGGAGGUAGAGCACUGAUUGGACUAGGGGCCCUCAUCGGGUUACCGAAUUCAGUCAAACUCCGAAUGCCAAAGACUUGCUCCUUGGGAGUCAGACUGCGAGUGAUAAGAUCCGUAGUCAAGAGGGAAACAGCCCAGACCACCAGCUAAGGUCCCAAAGUAUACGUUAAGUGGAAAAGGAUGUGGAGUUGCUUAGACAACCAGGAUGUUGGCUUAGAAGCAGCCACCAUUUAAAGAGUGCGUAAUAGCUCACUGGUCGAGUGACUCUGCGCCGAAAAUGUACCGGGGCUAAACGUAUCACCGAAGCUGUGGACUGUUCUUACGAACAGUGGUAGGAGAGCGUUCUAAGGGCGUUGAAGCUAGACCGUAAGGACUGGUGGAGCGCUUAGAAGUGAGAAUGCCGGUAUGAGUAGCGAAAGAGGGGUGAGAAUCCCCUCCACCGAAUGCCUAAGGUUUCCUGAGGAAGGCUCGUCCGCUCAGGGUUAGUCGGGACCUAAGCCGAGGCCGAAAGGCGUAGGCGAUGGACAACAGGUUGAUAUUCCUGUACCACCUCCUCACCAUUUGAGCAAUGGGGGGACGCAGGAGGAUAGGGCAAGCGCGCUGUUGGAUAUGCGCGUCCAAGCAGUUAGGCUGAGAAGCAGGCAAAUCCGCUUCUCAUAUAAGGCUGAGCUGUGAUGGCGAGGGAAAUUUAGUACCGAAGUUCCUGAUUCCACACUGCCAAGAAAAGCCUCUAGCGAGGUGAGAGGUGCCCGUACCGCAAACCGACACAGGUAGGCGAGGAGAGAAUCCUAAGGUGAGCGAGAGAACUCUCGUUAAGGAACUCGGCAAAAUGACCCCGUAACUUCGGGAGAAGGGGUGCUUUUUAGGGUUCAUAGCCCUGAAAAGCCGCAGUGAAUAGGCCCAGGCGACUGUUUAGCAAAAACACAGGUCUCUGCGAAGCCGCAAGGCGAAGUAUAGGGGCUGACGCCUGCCCGGUGCUGGAAGGUUAAGAGGAGAGGUUAGCGCAAGCGAAGCUUUGAAUUGAAGCCCCAGUAAACGGCGGCCGUAACUAUAACGGUCCUAAGGUAGCGAAAUUCCUUGUCGGGUAAGUUCCGACCCGCACGAAAGGCGUAACGAUCUGGGCACUGUCUCAACGAGAGACUCGGUGAAAUUAUAGUACCUGUGAAGAUGCAGGUUACCCGCGACAGGACGGAAAGACCCCGUGGAGCUUUACUGUAGCCUGAUAUUGAAUUUUGGUACAGCUUGUACAGGAUAGGUAGGAGCCUUGGAAGCCGGAGCGC